This 402-nucleotide ribosomal RNA is filed under the name Verrucomicrobiota bacterium. RNAcentral's name for it is "Verrucomicrobia bacterium partial 16S ribosomal RNA". It matches the Rfam family "Bacterial small subunit ribosomal RNA", at positions 355 to 776 of the family's 1533-position model. The record is from RNAcentral. Lineage: Bacteria; Pseudomonadati; Verrucomicrobiota.
AGGGGAAUUUUGCACAAUGGGGGAAACCCUGAUGCAGCGACGCCGCGUGAUUUAGAAGGCCUUCGGGUUGUAAAAAUCUUUUCUAUGGGAAGAAAAUGACAGUACCAUAGGAAUAAGGACUGGCUAAUUACGUGCCAGCAGCCGCGGUAAUACGUAAGGUCCGAGCGUUGUCCGGAAUCAUUGGGCGUAAAGGGUACGUAGGCGGAUAAGCAAGUUAGAAGUGAAAUCCUAUAGCUCAACUAUAGUAAGCUUUUAAAAAUGUUCAUCUUGAGGUAUGGAAGGUAAAGUGGAAUUCCUAGUGUAGCGGUGAAAUGCGCAGAUAUUAGGAGGAAUACCGGUGACGAAGGCGACUUUCUGGCCAUAUACCGACGCUGAGGUACGAAAGCGUGGGUAGCAAACAGG